AUUGAACGCUGGCGGCAGGCCUAACACAUGCAAGUCGAACGAGUGGCGGACGGGUGAGUAAUGUCUGGGAAACUGCCUGAUGGAGGGGGAUAACUACUGGAAACGGUAGCUAAUACCGCAUACCAUCGGAUGUGCCCAGAUGGGAUUAGCUUGUUGGUGGGGUAACGGCUCACCAAGGCGACGAUCCCUAGCUGGUCUGAGAGGAUGACCAGCCACACUGGGACUGAGAAAAGGGCCAGACUCCUACGGGAGGCAGCAGUGGGGAAUAUUGCACAAUGGGCGCAAGCCUGAUGCAGCCAUGCCGCGUGUAUGAAGAAGGCCUUAGGGUUGUAAAGUACUUUCAGCGGGGAGGCGUUAACCGAAGAAGAAGCACCGGCCAACUCCGUGCCAGCAGCCGCGGUAAUAC
Molecule: ribosomal RNA, 406 nt
Filed under: uncultured bacterium
Lineage: Bacteria
Description: partial 16S ribosomal RNA
Rfam family: Bacterial small subunit ribosomal RNA
Source: RNAcentral